Molecule: long non-coding RNA, 630 nt
Organism: Cotesia glomerata
Lineage: Eukaryota; Metazoa; Arthropoda; Insecta; Hymenoptera; Braconidae
Exons: 3
Source: RefSeq, a predicted model, not a curated record
AAUAAUUAAUAAAUAGAAAAAAAAUAAUAAUACGCCAUUAUCUAAUUUAUACUCAUCCAUCGCUAAUAUUAAUGCUGUCAUCAUUAAAUUGAUUAAGUUGAUAUAUCAAUUUGUAGAAUACCUACUAAAUUUGUUGUUCUUAGCCGUGCAUCUUAUUGUUUCGUUGUUUCAAUUAACUUAUUCUAUUUGUCAACUGGUCAAUUGUUUAAUAAUUAUACAAUUCUCGUGUACAUGGCGCCUGAAUAAAUUCAUCGAACAAAAAUUAUAAACAAUUGACAUACUGUAGCACAGUAUUUUCAACAAAAAUCAUAAGCUAUUUACUACGUAAAGUAUCUUAUAAAUUAUCUACGUGGAGAAAAAUUGGACCGGCAGAAAUCCCGAGGUUCAGCCAACCUUGGUCACCACACCAUACAUAUAUAGCAUCGCAUAAGGAAAACCCUAAUUGGAAUCGAAAAUUUCAAUCAAAAGAAAGGAGUCGAACCAUUUAUAUUAACUGAAAGCAAAAUUUAAUCUAAAACACAAAGCAAUCUCAAAACUAAAAACAAAACCAAAAUCAUAACCACAACCAUAACCAUAACCAAGAUAAGAACCGAAACCAAGAUAAAAACCGAAACCAAAAUAAAAACUAAA